RNAcentral lists this ribosomal RNA (261 nucleotides) under Crypthecodinium cohnii. Its description in RNAcentral is "partial Bacterial large subunit ribosomal RNA". It matches the Rfam family "Bacterial large subunit ribosomal RNA", at positions 347 to 615 of the family's 2925-position model. Lineage: Eukaryota; Dinophyceae; Gonyaulacales; Crypthecodiniaceae. The record is from RNAcentral.
AACACUGGCCAUAGCGGGUGAUAGCCCCGUACACGAAAAACUGCAUGAGAUGAAAUCGAGUAAGGCGAGGCACGUGAAACCUUGUCUGAAUAUGGGGGGACCAUCCUCCAAGGCUAAAUACUCGUAAUCGACCGAUAGUGAACAAGUACCGUGAGGGAAAGGCGAAAAGAACCCCGGGAGGGGAGUGAAAUAGAUCCUGAAACCGCAUGCAUACAAGCAGUGGGAGCCGACUUGUUCGGUGACUGCGUACCUUUUGUAUAA